CGCGUAUGCAACCUACCUAUCGAGAGGGGAAUAACCCGGCGAAAGUCGGACUAAUACCGCAGUAAAACAGGGGCACCGCAUGGUGAUAUUGUUAAAGAAUUCGCUGAUAGAUGGGCAUGCGUUCCAUUAGGUAGUUGGUGAGGUAACGGCUCACCAAGCCGACGAUGGAUAGGGGAACUGAGAGGUUGGUCCCCCACACUGGUACUGAGACACGGACCAGACUCCUACGGGAGGCAGCAGUGAGGAAUAUUGGUCAAUGGGCGGGAGCCUGAACCAGCCAAGUCGCGUGAAAAGGAAGAAGGAUCUAUGGUUCGUAAACUUCUUUUGCAGGGGAAUAAAGUGCAGGACGUGUCCUGUUUUGUAUGUACCCUGAGAAUAAGGAUCGGCUAACUCCGUGCCAGCAGCUGC
This 408-nucleotide ribosomal RNA is filed under the name uncultured bacterium. RNAcentral describes it as "bacterial SSU rRNA". It matches the Rfam family "Bacterial small subunit ribosomal RNA", at positions 114 to 518 of the family's 1533-position model. The record is from RNAcentral.